UUUCGCAAUGCCCGAAAGGGUGACGAAGCGACGCCGCGUGCGGGAAGAAGGCCUUCGGGUUGUAAACCGCUGUCGGGAGUUAAGAAAUGUAAGGAUGUUAAUAGCAUCUUUGCUUGACUAAGGCUCCGGAGGAAGCCACGGCUAACUCUGUGCCAGCAGCCGCGGUAAUACAGAGGUGGCAAGCGUUGUUCGGAAUUAUUGGGCGUAAAGAGCACGUAGGCGGUUCUGCAAGUCGGCUGUGAAAGCCUUCCGCUCAACGGAAGAACAGCAGUUGAUACUACAGGACUAGAGUGCGGGAGGGGAGAGUGGAACUUCUGGUGGAGCGGUGAAAUGCGUAGAUAUCAGAAGGAACGCCGGCGGCGAAAGCGACUCUCUGGCCCGUAACUGACGCUGAGUGUGCGAAAGCUAGGGGAGCAAACGGGAUUAGAUACCCCGGUAGUCCUAGCCGUAAACGAUGGGCACUAAGUAGAGGGGUUUU
Molecule: ribosomal RNA, 478 nt
Filed under: uncultured Planctomycetales bacterium
Lineage: Bacteria; Pseudomonadati; Planctomycetota; Planctomycetia; Planctomycetales
Description: bacterial SSU rRNA
Rfam family: Bacterial small subunit ribosomal RNA
Source: RNAcentral